UACGUAGGGUGCGAGCGUUGUCCGGAAUUAUUGGGCGUAAAGAGCUUGUAGGCGGUUUGUCGCGUCUGCUGUGAAAAUCCGAGGCUCAACCUCGGACUUGCAGUGGUACGGGCAGACUAGAGUGUGGUAGGGGAGACUGGAAUUCCUGGUGUAGCGGUGAAAUGCGCAGAUAUCAGGAGGAACACCGAUGGCGAAGGCAGGUCUCUGGGCCACUACUGACGCUGAGAAGCGAAAGCAUGGGGAGCGAACAGGAUUA
RNAcentral lists this ribosomal RNA (256 nucleotides) under uncultured prokaryote. RNAcentral describes it as "partial 16S ribosomal RNA". It matches the Rfam family "Bacterial small subunit ribosomal RNA", at positions 524 to 780 of the family's 1533-position model. The record is from RNAcentral.